Molecule: ribosomal RNA, 490 nt
Filed under: uncultured bacterium
Lineage: Bacteria
Description: partial 16S ribosomal RNA
Rfam family: Bacterial small subunit ribosomal RNA
Source: RNAcentral
AUUGAACGCUGGCGGCAGGCCUAACACAUGCAAGUCGAACGGUAACAGGAAGAAGCUUGCUUCUUUGCUGACGAGUGGCGGACGGGUGAGUAAUGUCUGGGAAACUGCCUGAUGGAGGGGGAUAACUACUGGAAACGGUAGCUAAUACCGCAUAACGUCGCAAGACCAAAGAGGGGGACCUUCGGGCCUCUUGCCAUCGGAUGUGCCCAGAUGGGAUUAGCUAGUAGGUGGGGUAACGGCUCACCUAGGCGACGAUCCAUAGCUGGUCUGAGAGGAUGACCAGCCACACUGGAACUGAGACACGGUCCAGACUCCUACGGGAGGCAGCAGUGGGGAAUAUUGCACAAUGGGCGCAAGCCUGAUGCAGCCAUGCCGCGUGUAUGAAGAAGGCCUUCGGGUUGUAAAGUACUUUCAGCGGGGAGGAAGGGAGUAAAGUUAAUACCUUUACUCAUUGACGUUACCCGCAGAAGAAGCACCGGCUAACUCCGUG